GGUUUGUGGAAUAGGUUUGGAGUUUAGAUAUAGGGUUUGGAAUUUAAAUUUUUAAUUUAGGUGUUAUAAAUGUUAAAAUGAAUCAUUAAAUAUAAAUGUUAAGAUUUAGUUAUAAAAUUAAAGAAUUUUGGAAAUUACAAAUUGUGUUUAAAUAUCAAAAAGAGCUUAUGAUUUGGUACGUAGUUUAAGUUUAGAGUUAUAUUGUUUGAAAUAUAAUGUUAGAAAAUAGCUUUUCUUAGCGUUAGAAAAAUGUUAUUAUAUGUCUUUGAAAGUAUUAUGGAAUCCGCUUAGAUAAUUUUU
Molecule: long non-coding RNA, 300 nt
Filed under: Brassica napus (rape)
Lineage: Eukaryota; Viridiplantae; Streptophyta; Magnoliopsida; Brassicales; Brassicaceae
Description: long non-coding RNA (BNAP_LNC017014)
Source: RNAcentral